This 910-nucleotide ribosomal RNA is filed under the name uncultured bacterium. Its description in RNAcentral is "bacterial SSU rRNA". It matches the Rfam family "Bacterial small subunit ribosomal RNA", at positions 8 to 916 of the family's 1533-position model. The record is from RNAcentral.
AGAGUUUGAUCAUGGCUCAGGAUGAACGCUAGCGGCAGGCCUAAUACAUGCAAGCUGAACGGUAAAUAUUGUAGCAAUACAAUAUGAGAGUAGCGUAAGGGUGCGUAACACGUAUGCAAUCUGCCCUGUACAGGAGGAUAGCUCGGCGAAAGCCGGAUUAAUACUCCGUAAUAUUGAGUUUUGGCAUCAAGAUUCGAUUAAAGUCGCAAGAUGGUACAGGAUGAGCAUGCGUCUGAUUAGCUAGUUGGUGGUGUAACGGACCACCAAGGCGAUGAUCAGUAGGGGAACUGAGAGGUUGAUCCCCCACACUGGCACUGAGAUACGGGCCAGACUCCUACGGGAGGCAGCAGUAGGGAAUAUUGGUCAAUGGAUGGAAGUCUGAACCAGCCAUGCCGCGUGCAGGAAGAAGGCCUUCUGGGUUGUAAACUGCUUUUGCCGGGGGAUAAAAUUCCCAUGCGUGGGACAUUGAAGGUACCCGGUGAAUACGCCACGGCUAACUACGUGCCAGCAGCCGCGGUAAUACGUAGGUGGCAAGCGUUGUCCGGAUUUAUUGGGUUUAAAGGGUGCGUAGGCGGCCUAUUAAGUCAGUUCUGAAAUAUCCCGGCUUAACCGGGAGGGUGGGAUUGAUACUGAUGGGCUUGAGUGGACUCGAGGUAGGCGGAAUUGACGGUGUAGCGGUGAAAUGCUUAGAUAUCGUCAAGAACACCGAUAGUGUAGACAGCUUACUAGAUUUCAACUGACGCUGAGGCACGAAAGUGUGGGGAUCAAACAGGAUUAGAUACCCUGGUAGUCCACACUGUAAACGUUGAUUACUCGCUGUGUGCGAUAUACAGUACGCGGCUUAGCGAAAGCGAUAAGUAAUCCACCUGGGGAGUACGCCGGCAACGGUGAAACUCAAAGGAAUUGACGG